UGGAGAUUAACUUUUUCCAUUCUCCACAGG
This 30-nucleotide non-coding RNA is filed under the name Mus musculus (house mouse). Lineage: Eukaryota; Metazoa; Chordata; Mammalia; Rodentia; Muridae. The record is from RNAcentral.